UGAGAUGGCCUCGCGUCCGAUUAGCUGGUUGGUGAGGUAACGGCCCACCAAGGCGACGAUCGGUAGCCGGACUGAGAGGUUGAACGGCCACAUUGGGACUGAGACACGGCCCAGACUCCUACGGGAGGCAGCAGUGGGGAAUAUUGCACAAUGGGGGAAACCCUGAUGCAGCGACGCCGCGUGGAGGAAGAAGGUCUUCGGAUUGUAAACUCCUGUUAUUGGGGAAAAGAAGGAUGGUACCCAACAAGGAAGUGACGGCUAACUACGUGCCAGCAGCCGCGGUAAAACGUAGGUCACGAGCGUUGUCCGGAAUUACUGGGUGUAAAGGGAGCGCAGGCGGGUAUGCAAGUUGGGAGUGAAAUACAUGGGCUCAACCCAUGAACUGCUCUCAAAACUGUGUAUCUUGAGUAGUGCAGAGGUAGGCGGAAUUCCCGGUGUAGCGGUGGAAUGCGUAGAUAUCGGGAGGAACACCAGUGGCGAAGGCGGCCUACUGGGCACCAACUGACGCUGAGGCUCGAAAGUGUGGGUAGCAAACAGGAUUAGAUACCCUGGUAGUCCACACCGUAAACGAUGAUUACUAGGUGUUGGAGGAUAGACCCCUUCAGUGCCGCAGU
Molecule: ribosomal RNA, 614 nt
Filed under: uncultured bacterium
Lineage: Bacteria
Description: bacterial SSU rRNA
Rfam family: Bacterial small subunit ribosomal RNA
Source: RNAcentral